AAUUCAGGACAUGGCCCAGUAAUUCAUAAUGCUGAAGCUAAAAUUCAACAAUACAUUUCUCACAGAAAUAUUCGAGAGCAGCAAAUUCUUACAUUAUUUCGUGAGAAUUUUGAGAAAUCAUUUACAGUAAUGGAGCUUGUAAAAAUUAUUUACAAGAAUACUCCUGAGAAUUUACAUGAAAUGGCUAAACAUAAUCUCUUACUUCAUUUGAAAAAACUAGAAAAAGAAGGAAAAAUAUUUAGCAACACGGAUCCUGACAAGAAAUGGAAAGCUCAUCUUUAGUUUCAGAUUAAAGAAAGCUUUGUUUUAUUUUGCUUUGAGAGAAUGGUAUGUUUUCUUAACUAUAGGUUAUUUUAUAGAGAAUAUAAAAGUAUAAAACAUUAAAAAUAACCCUAGAUAUACUUUAAAAUAAUGUUAUAUUUAUGCUAAAAUAUGUAAA
This 439-nucleotide long non-coding RNA is filed under the name Pan troglodytes (chimpanzee). RNAcentral describes it as "long non-coding RNA NONPTRT017101". The record is from RNAcentral. Lineage: Eukaryota; Metazoa; Chordata; Mammalia; Primates; Hominidae.